UCUGGUCGAAUUCCUCCCCUCUCCUCUCUCCCAAAUCAUCCUCCUUGCUUUGGUGUUUGUAAGCCAUUAGAGGAGUGACAUUUGUGACUCUAGAAGCUCCAAGACCUCAAGAUCAACAAGGAACUCAAAGGUAUGAUUCUAGAUCUGUUUUAAUGUUCUUGUUUAACCUAAUUAGUAAUUAGAAGUCUUGGAUUCAAAGCAUGUUUAUUAGAAAGCCUAGAUCCAAGCAUUAGGGUUUUGCAUGCGCACAUAGGAAAGUUCUUAUGGCUAAAACCCAUCAGUGGUAUCAGAGCCUAGCUUGGUUUUCUGUAAAUUGUUGCUUGAUUAACUGAAACAAACCUGCAAAAUUCGAAUUUUUGGUUUCUGAGUCAUGGACUCGGCGAGUCUCAAAGUGGACUCGGCGAGUAGGCCUGACUCGGCGAGUCCAUUUGUGCACUCGGCGAGUCCAGGCGUCAGGAAUGGCCAGAUUCGGGAUUUCUUUGUGUUUAUCUUAUCUUAACUUACCAUAAACUAAUUAGAUCAACAUUAAUUCGUUUUUCUGAUAAAUAUAACUAUUAUCUUGAUCUAGUUAAAGGUAAUUAUCAACUAAUUAAAUAUUUAAUUUCCUUAUAUGAUAAUUAAUUAAUUAUUUUGAUUAUUUUGGUAAUUAUCUUUAAAAGAAAUCUUGAAUAAAUCAAAUAUAGAUAAUUAGGAUAUUAAUUGUUAAUUGGAAUUAUUUGUUAUUUGAUCCUCCAUGUUUUAAAUGUUUAAAACCUACCCUCAUGUUUUGAAAUUUACUUUUGUGAUUAAAAGUUUUAAUUUAGACAACUUAAAUUUCAAACCCUAGAUUUUAAAAGUUUUAAAAUACAACCCUAUACUAAUAUGAUAUUACUAGAAUAAUAUAUAUAUGUAUAACUAAAUGCUAGUCUUACCGUUAGUAGGCCUCAUUCACGAAGCCGAUCUAUAAGGUGGGUAUAAGGUUGCGGCCUAUAAAAUGGCGCUUAAUGGGUGUACACUCACACCCACCGCUUGCUUGAUUGGUGGAGGGUCGUUAGCCGAACGGGUAGGAUAGGGCAACCUCAUCCUCUCAUUAAAAGUAUAAUAAGAAAUAUAAAGUAACUACACAUUUUUUUAAAAUUUCCCAAUCCUAGUUACUUUAGGAAAAGUGAAUUGAUGCAAUCCCAUGAAAUUACACUUUGCACCUUGCUAAGAUGUUAGUGGAGCGUGUGUGGUUUACCGGCACACUAAUUGGUUCUAAGCGAAGGUGGCAAAGGGUGAUUCAUUGUUUAUCAUAGUUCGAUGGAGCGUGUGUGGUUUACCGGCACAUCGAAUAGGUGAUUGUUACAAUGAAGGCACCAUGUGAAUUUGCAUGGUAAUUCACACCCGCUUUGUGAUCCUCGGCAUCCCAGUCACAAACAAGAGGGGCAUAUCGAGAUUUAAACAUGCCAUUGAAUAGUUUCAAUGAAUCUCAUCCGAACCUAGGAAUUCUCAAAAACACUUAGGACUAAUAGUUUAAGUUUUGUGAUGGAGAAUUAGUGAAUCGUCAUUCACUUACCUUCAAUUUAUUUGCAUGUUAGAUUACGGCAUCCCUUUUCUAGUAUGUAAAUGUUAUUGUUGGAUCCUAGCCCUAAUUUUCUUAUUGGGUGAUAAUUAGGGAUUCUUAUUCUAAUCUAUCUUUGUCCUUUUCUAAUUGUAGAUGUCGAACGCAAACAACGCUGCUGCUAGUUCUUUCACGUUGAUGAGCCUUUGCCAAAAGGUCACCUUCGAUGGAACGAACUUUAGCGAAUGGAUAAGAUACAUUCGCACCAUUGCUCGCUAUGAGGAUAAGGAGUAUGUCCUCGAUGAGAAGCUCGAGAAAAUCAACCCCGAAAUUGCUACUCCCGCCGAAAUCACCGCCUUUGAAACUCAUGAGCGAGAUGCAACGAAGGUACAUUGCAUCAUGAUCGCCACCAUGAACUCCGAAUUCCAAAAGUCCUACGAGGACAUGUACCCGUACGAGAUGCAUCAAGACUUAUUGGAGAGGUACCACCAAAACGCGAGACAAGAGAGGUACGAGAUUUUCACUAACAUGAUUUCCGCGAAGAUGGGUCAUGGAGAAUCUCUUACCGUGCACUUGCAAAAGAUGCAAAGGUAUGUUGACCGCCUCCGCAAGUUAAAUGUUGACUUCGGUGAAGACUUGGCGAUCGACAUGGUGCUUCACUCUUUGCCUCCGAUGUACAACCAAUUUAGGAUGACCUACCACAUGAACAAAGAAGAGGUCACCCUAAGCAAGCUCCAAGGUCUCUUGAGGGUUGCUGAGAGCAACUUCAAAGACAAGUCUGUUGCACCUACUCCCAAUCCGCCCGCUGCUCCUGUCUUGGCUAUUGGACAAGGGAAGGGAAAGAAGAGGAAAGCUUCAUCGAAGAACUAUCGCAAGGUGAAAGCCCGAGAUGGUGCCUCUUCUAGUGGGACCAAAGUUGAUCCCGCCAAGCCCUGCUCUAACCCGAAGGAGGCAGAGUGCCACCACUGCCACAAGAUAGGACAUUGGAAGAGAAGCUGCCCGGAUUACCUGCAAGCAAUCAAAGAAGGAAAGAUCAAGCCAUCUUUCGCAGGUAUAUAUACAAUCAAAUCUAACGAUUCUAAUCAUGCUAUUUCUUGGGUUCUUGAUACCGGUUGUGGUUAUCACAUUUGUUCUAAUGUGCAGGGACUAAGAAGAAGUAGGGAUGUGGAGCAAGGAAGGAUCAAUCUAAUCAUGGGGAACAGAAGAUCGUCGCCUGUGACCAAGAUUGGAGUGUAUUCCUUAGUGCUUAGGAAUAGUUUAGUUUUAGAUUUGAACAAUUGUUGCUAUUCGCCAGAAAUGGCAAGAAACAUCAUUUCAUUUCAUGGUUUAUAUAGACAAGGAUUUAGAUUUUCUUUUAAUAAUGAGAAUGGUUCUAUUUUGGCUUAUCUAAAUGGUGUCUUUUACUUUGAAGCUAUACCAUGUAAUGGAAUAUAUGAAACCGUUAUGAUUGUUGAUAACUUAGGAAAUGAUGUUUUGAAUAUUGAUUCUUCCACUAGUAUGGAUAAAGCAUCCUUGUGGCAUUGUCGUCUUGGACAUGUCAACAAGAAACGCAUAGCCCAACUCCAAAAGGAUGGAGUGUUGGAGUCAUUCGACCUUAGGGAAGAUGACACAUGCGAGUCUUGUUUGCUUGGAAAGAUGACUAAGUCACCCUUCACGAGUACAUGUGAAAGGGGCGAGGGUCUAUUGGACCUAAUACAUACCGAUGUAUGUGGACCGUUUAGAUCAACCACGAAGGAUGGGAACCGCUUCUAUGUGACUUUUACCGAUGACUAUAGUAGAUAUGGGUAUAUCUACUUAAUCAAGCAAAAGUCAGACACCUUUGAAAAGUUCAAAGAGUUCAAGAAUGAAGUGGAGAAUCAAUUGGGCAGGAAAAUCAAGAUGCUUCGAUCCGAUCGAGGAGGAGAGUACCUAAGUCUUGAAUUCCACGAUUAUCUCAAGGAGUGUGGAAUAGUUUCGCAAUUGACGCCUCCUAGGACACCGCAGUUGAAUGGUGUGGCAGAAAGGCGUAAUCGAACCUUAUUGGAUAUGGUUCGCUCUAUGAUGAGUCGUGCUUCACUACCUAUCUCUUUUUGGGGGUAUGCCUUAGAGACUGCCGCCCAUAUCCUUAACCGAGUCCCUACUAAGAAGGUUGCCAAAACACCUCACGAGAUGUGGACAGGGAAAGCUCCCUCGUUGGCACAUAUCAAGGUUUGGGGUUGCGAGGCUUUCGUAAGACGAGAUACUCACGACAAGCUUGAACCUCGAAGUGAGCGAUGUAUUUUCAUCGGCUACCCGCAGACAUCCUUUGGAUAUCUCUUCUAUAGACCGAAGGACAAUGUUGUCUUCGUUGCGAGGAGAGGAGUUUUCCGAGAGCGAGAACUCAUAAGCCAAGGAGACAGUGGGAGGCAAAUCGAGCUUGAAGAGAUUCAAGAGUCGAUAGAUGAAGGAACCUCUACCGCUGGCACUCAACCCGAGGAGGAAACUCCGGUUGAACCGAUUGACGAAUCCUUACCUCUUAGACGUUCCGAUAGAGUUAGAGUUCAACCCCAGUUUUAUGGUUUUCAUAUUACUACCGAAGGGGACACGUAUAUUAGUGAUGGUACACUAAUAAAUCUUGAUGAACCUAAUAGCUAUAAGGAAGCCAUGGCAGGCCCGGAGUCUGCAAAAUGGAAAGAGGCAAUGGAUAGCGAGAUCCAAUCCAUGUAUGAUAACCAAGUUUGGAAUUUGGUUGAUUAUGUGCCCGGACGUAAGACCGUUGGGUGCAAAUGGAUCUUCAAGAAGAAGACCGACGUGGAUGGAAACGUACACACAUAUAAAGCGCGAUUGGUUGCGAAGGGCUUUACUCAAACUCCCGGAGUUGACUAUGAUGAGACCUUCUCACCAGUUGCGAAGAUUAAAUCUAUUAGAGUGAUGCUAGCAAUUGCCGCAUUUCAUGAUUAUGAGAUUUGGCAAAUGGAUGUCAAGACCGCUUUCCUUAACGGAAAGUUGGCUGAGGAUGUUUACAUGGCUCAGCCAGAGGGGUUUGUGGAUCCGAAGCAUCCGAAUAGAGUGUGUAAGCUUGAGAAGUCCAUUUAUGGACUUAAGCAAGCGUCUCGCAGAUGGAAUCUUUGCUUCGAUGAGAAAGUCAAAGAGUUUGGAUUUGUACGAAGCGAAGACGAAUCUUGUGUAUAUGUCAAAGCCAGUGGGAGUAUAGUAAGCUUCCUCGUUCUAUAUGUCGAUGACAUAUUACUCAUAGGAAACGACAUCCCGACUCUGCAGGAGGUAAAGUCCUGGCUCGGGAAGUGUUUCGCUAUGAAGGACCUCGGAGAGGCUUCUUACAUUUUGGGAAUAAGGAUAGUAAGAGAAAGAAGUAAGAGACUAAUUGGACUUAGUCAGAAUACUUACUUAGAGAAGGUACUAAAACGUUUUAGUAUGGAAAACUCAAAGAAGGGAGAACUACCGAUACAAAGUAAUGCCAAAUUGAGUAAGACUCAAAGUCCGAGUACCGAAGCUGAGAUAGCAGAAAUGAGCCGAGUACCAUACGCUUCCGCAGUUGGCUCAAUCAUGUACGCUAUGACUUGUACUCGCCCUGAUGUAGCCUUCGCUUUGAGCAUGGUUAGCAGAUAUCAAGGGAAUCCUGGCAAAGCACAUUGGAUUGCGGUGAAGAAUAUCCUUAAGUACCUUCGGAGGACGAAGGAAUGGUUCUUAGUCCUCGGAGGGAGUGAUGACUUGAAGGUGCGAGGGUAUAGUGACGCCAGUUUUCAGACCGACAGGGACAACUACCGUUCGCAGUCGGGCUGGGUCUUUACCCUAAAUGGAGGAGCAGUGACAUGGAAGAGUUCCAAGCAGGAAACCGUAGCUGAUUCAACGUGCGAAUCAGAGUACAUUGCAGCGAGCGAAGCGUCGAAGGAGGCAAUAUGGCUAAAGAACUUCAUCGGUGAUCUUGGAGUCGUACCUGCCAUAAAGGAGCCAAUGGAGAUUUUCUGUGAUAACGAAGGUGCGGUUGCCUUAACCAAGGAACCGAGGGAUCAUGGUAGAUCAAGACAUAUCGACAGAAAGUAUCACUUCAUUAGACAUCGUGUAGAAGAAGGACAACUCGUAGUGAAGAGGAUAUCAUCAGAAGAUAACCCAGCAGAUCCGCUUACGAAGGGACUGAGUAGGGUUAAGCACUUGCAGCAUGCUAGGAGUAUUGGGCUGAAGGAUGAUAUUAGCAUAGAUUAGAUAGUAUUAGAAACGUGUAAUAGAUAAAUGUAAUUGACAUUUGAUGAUUAAAUAAAGGAGUUUUAUUUAUGAGUAAUGUUACUAUCUUAUGUUAAUUGUUUAGCUAUUGUUUCACUUUGCAUGUUUUGACUUCCAGAAUAAUUGAGGUUAUUAGGAAUAAUCGAAUUAUUCAAAUGGUCCACAAUCGUUCAUAUGUUGGAAGUAGAUAUGAAAGAAGAUUGUCAUGAAUUGGUGUGUAGAAUGUCUAAAUGGUGUUAGACAUAGCAAAGGAUUGCUGCAACGUUCAUGAGUGCUUAUGAACUAGUUUUGAGCAUUGGAAUAAACCCGCGCUUGCUGGAAUCACCUUAUGGAAUACGAUAUAAAAGGUGAUCGCAAGACGAUAAUAUCAUAUAGUCUUAAAACCUAGAUAUAUGGUUUAUUAUUUGUUAAUUGAUUGUACAUUGAUAAUACGAAAACGCAUCAGUAACUUGGUGUUAUAAAACGUAUUGUUGUGUAUAGUUGGUUAAUGAAUAAGUAAAUGCAUAUAAGUCGAAGUUUAUCUGUAACUUUUAUCUAAGAAGGUAAAAGCGAUAUCUCGGCCGCUCGAUGAUUUGAUUUGACUUAUGUGCCGGGCCCGGUCAGAACUGAAUUGAUGUGUUCGAUUAAGUUCUAUGUCAAAUAAAUCAGAGAUCGAGAAACCUAAAUGCUUGACUAACCAUUCCAUAGGAUUGUCAGCAUGAUAUCUAACAGAGGACUGUACGUUCCCUUAUCUAAAGGACAAGAUUGAUUAGAUCAGAGUUGACAGCGUCUUUGAGAGCUACGAUUGCAAACCGAAUUGUACUUGUAUAGUUACUAGACUUAUCCAAGUGGGAGACUGUUGGAAUAGUGUCUAAGGCUGUAACUAUAUCCGGUUGUGCAUGGUCCUUUUGGGUUGCCUUCACCAUAGCAACUUGAUAGGAUGAUUUAUUAAGAGAGAAUAAAUAUUAUUAAUAUAUUAUGGGAAUAAUAUAAUGAAUAAUAUAUUUGUUAUUUGAUUAAUAUAAGUCAUAGAAUUAAUUAGAAUUAAUUUGGUGACUUAAAGAGAUUAAUUAAAUAAAGGGGUAUAAACUGUCAAUUGUUUGAUAGUUAAGCUUUAGACUGUAAAUCCAUUUGGAUAUACUUUGGACGGAUUCUAAGAGCCUUAGGAAAGCUAAAAUCGUCCAUAUGCUUAUCUAGGAAUGGAUUUGGAUAGCCUUAAGAGAAGAUUAUCUGAUAGGGACUUAUCUGUAAUCAUUAAGGAAUCUACAAGUAUAAAUAGACCCCAUGGGAUAGGGAAUUCGACAUUUCUGGAAAAAGCAAGAGAACUCUGGUCGAAUUCCUCCCCUCUCCUCUCUCCCAAAUCAUCCUCCUUGCUUUGGUGUUUGUAAGCCAUUAGAGGAGUGACAUUUGUGACUCUAGAAGCUCCAAGACCUCAAGAUCAACAAGGAACUCAAAGGUAUGAUUCUAGAUCUGUUUCAUUGUUCUUAUUUAACCUAAUUAGUAAUUAGAAGUCUUGGAUUCAAAGCAUGUUUAUUAGAAAGCCUAGAUCCGAGCAUUAGGGUUUUGCAUGCGCACAUAGGAAAGUUCUUAUGGCUAAAACCCAUCACACAUACCUUUCUUGC
This 7317-nucleotide long non-coding RNA is filed under the name Lactuca sativa (garden lettuce). Its description in RNAcentral is "long non-coding RNA (LSAT_LNC003671)". The record is from RNAcentral. Lineage: Eukaryota; Viridiplantae; Streptophyta; Magnoliopsida; Asterales; Asteraceae.